GGUGCCCGUUACGGGGAAAGUAGAGACAGGUGGUGCAUGGUUGUCGUCAGCUCGUGUCGUGAGAUGUUGGGUUAAGUCCCGCAACGAGCGCAACCCUUAUUGUUAGUUGCUACGCAAGAGCACUCUAGCGAGACUGCCGUUGACAAAACGGAGGAAGGUGGGGACGACGUCAAAUCAUCAUGCCCCUUAUGUCCUGGGCUACACACGUAAUACAAUGGCGGUCAACAGAGGGAUGCAAAGCCGUGAGGUGGAGCGAACCCCUAAAAGCCGUCUCAGUUCGGAUCGCAGGCUGCAACUCGCCUGCGUGAAGUCGGAAUCGCUAGUAAUCGCGGAUCAGAAUGCCGCGGUGAAUACGUUCCCGGGCCUUGUACACACCGCCCGUCACACCAUGAGAGUCGGGAACACCCGAAGUCCGUAGCCUAACAGCAAUGAGGGCGCGGCCGAAGGUGGGUUUGAUAA
This 459-nucleotide ribosomal RNA is filed under the name uncultured Oscillibacter sp. RNAcentral's name for it is "bacterial SSU rRNA". It matches the Rfam family "Bacterial small subunit ribosomal RNA", at positions 1011 to 1474 of the family's 1533-position model. Lineage: Bacteria; Bacillati; Bacillota; Clostridia; Eubacteriales; Oscillospiraceae. The record is from RNAcentral.